CCUCGGGUGGCAGCAGUGAGGAAUAUUGGUCAAUGGGCUUACGCCUGAACCAGCCAAGUCGCGUGAGGGAAGACUGCCCUAUGGGUUGUAAACCUCUUUUGUCAGGGAGCAAUUGGCGCUACGUGUAGCGUUAUCGAGAGUACCUGAAGAAAAAGCAUCGGCUAACUCCGUGCCAGCAGCCGCGGUAAUACGGAGGAUGCGAGCGUUAUCCGGAUUUAUUGGGUUUAAAGGGUGCGUAGGCGGAAUGCCAAGUCAGCGGUAAAAUCGCGGGGCUCAACCUCGCUCCGCCGUUGAAACUGGGGUUCUUGAGUGGGCGAGAAGUAUGCGGAAUGCGUGGUGGAGCGGUGAAAUGCAUAGAUAUCACGCAGAACUCCGAUUGCGAAGGCAGCAUACCGGCGCCCAACUGACGCUGAAGCACGAAAGCGUGGGUAUCGAACAGGAUUAGAUACCCC
RNAcentral lists this ribosomal RNA (452 nucleotides) under uncultured bacterium. Its description in RNAcentral is "partial 16S ribosomal RNA". It matches the Rfam family "Bacterial small subunit ribosomal RNA", at positions 339 to 788 of the family's 1533-position model. The record is from RNAcentral.